CUUCCGGGUCGGCCACUGAAAACUGCUCCUCUGGGUUUUGUAUCUUGAAAACCCUUUGAAAGAACUGAGGAUGUUGCCCUGGAGAACAUCCCACUAAAGGAAUGUAUAGAAGUGGCAGGAGAAAGAUACUGCUAACUGAAGAAACAUUUGAAAAGAGCUCGGAGCUCUGUUAUCUCAGGGAAGAUGAAACAUUUUCAAGGAGGGAGUUCACAAAGAAACUUCUAUCACAUUAGCUCUUCUCAAGAGAGAAUGGGCUAACUGAGCACCUUCCACCUUCCCUUGGAGGGACUGGCAAUGAAGUUGGAGAAGGCAGCCGACUUUGCAAAAGCAGUUCAGUGAAAAGCGAGAAGAAAUUUUAACUACCCUGAAAGAGCUGAAGACAUUCGACACACAUGUGCCUCUCCCUUAGGUUUCAGACUCUGGAAGUGGAUCCCUUGGAACAGGAAAAAGUGAAAUGAUGAUGCCCUGGUACCAGCUGGAGAGGGGACUUGUCUUCAGGAUGAGAUUUCAUCCAGUUCUGACAACUUGCUCUAAAGACCGAGUGGAGAUAAGGCGGGUCAAUGAUGGGAAAGAGGAGUACUCAGUUAUGACUAUCAUAAGCCCUCUGUUUAAACCUAAACCUCAUGUACUGUAUGCCCUCUGUUUAAACCUAAACCUCAUGUCCAGACCCUGAAGAUGGCUUGAGAGGUGUGUCAGUGGACCUCCUCAUGUACUCCUCUUCCUACCAUGACCAUAAAUAACCUUUCUCUGCUCUUGGAUUCCUUGGGUAAGGAUGGGUGGUGAAGCCCAGUUUGUUAGGCCUACCAGAGACCAGACUCUGACCCUAAUAG
Long non-coding RNA from Mesocricetus auratus (golden hamster), 830 nucleotides. RefSeq lists it as uncharacterized. The record is from RefSeq and is a predicted model, not a curated record. Lineage: Eukaryota; Metazoa; Chordata; Mammalia; Rodentia; Cricetidae. The transcript has 3 exons.